Triticum aestivum (bread wheat) is the source of this 125-nucleotide non-coding RNA. NCBI's taxonomy places the organism in Eukaryota, Viridiplantae, Streptophyta, Magnoliopsida, Poales, Poaceae. The record is from Rfam.
CAUAUACUCCCUCCGUCCGAAAAUACUUGUCGGAGAAAUAUAUCAAAAUGGGUGUAUCUAGAACUAAAAUGCAUCUAGAUACAUCCAUUUCUCCGUCAAGUAUAUCAAGACGGAGGGAGUAUUAA